Molecule: unclassified non-coding RNA, 4334 nt
Filed under: Hevea brasiliensis (rubber tree)
Lineage: Eukaryota; Viridiplantae; Streptophyta; Magnoliopsida; Malpighiales; Euphorbiaceae
Source: RNAcentral
GAAAAAUUAACCUCAAUUAUUAUUAUUCCACUCUUGUCCAAACAUAGCCUGAAUGAGCAGAAGCGUCCAUUUGUCUCGUUCUCUGACUUUUGAGUAAUGGAUCACUUCAUUUUAAGCUUGCUUUGAUCGUCUUUUGCCUGUCUCCUUCUGAAUCAUUGAAUAUGAAUCAGAUUCUAAAUUCUAGUUCUAAAUUUUGGCCCAAAUUCCCUGUGCCACUGAGGUCCUGUCUCCUUCUGAAGACGUAGAAUUUGAAUCCGAUGCUAAAAUGUGGUCGAAAUUCCCUUCGCCACUGAGGUGGAUGCAAAAUUGGAACCCUAACCCUAAACCCACUACCUUACAAUCUUUUCUUAAUUUUUUAAUUCUCUAUUUUUAUGUUGCUUUUUGGUAAAAAGAAAUUAUAAAUUGACCUCAAUGAACCAGAAAAGUUGCUGAAAAGACGAUAAAAAAUGAGUUGUAUGGGUAGCUCACAGUAUCUUCUUCAAUGGCACAUGCGAUUGGACAAUGGAGCCCAUAAAAGGGAUUCUUACCCAUUAACAGUCAUAUUUCUCGUUAUUGUAUAUGAAUAAACAGUUGCUGUUAUGGCAUCCUCCGGUACUGCCAGAGUUGAACAUUUCCAGCUCGUGGAUGGGAUGCAACUUCAGAUAAAUGUUUCAGGCUCUUUGAAUGGACCCAAUGUCAGAAUUGAACUUCGGCUUAAGAACUGUACAAGGGCCUGGAUUCUUCACUGGGGUUUUGUUAAUCAUGGAAACCCGAAUUGGUUUAUCCCUUCUGAGCAAUCUCCAGGAUCAAAAUCUUAUAAGCAAGGGGCAUUACAGACACCAUUUACGAAGAGUGGAGAAUUUUAUGUAGUCAAUAUGGAGUUGAGAGGCCCUAAAUUCCAUGCUAUAGAAUUUGUUUUGAAAGAUAGCUGCUGCAACAGAUGGUUGAAAUUGAACAAUGGGAAUUUCAGAGUUGAUCUGCCUGAACAUGAUGAAAGUACUAUUCACCCCUCUCUAUCGAAGGACUUGAUAGAACGCAAGGCAUAUCAAAUCUGGGAAAGCAAGGGCAGGCCAACGAGCACUCCACAUCAACAAAAGCGAGAUUAUGAUGAUGCUGUAAGAGAACUCCAAAGUCAGCUGGCCAAAGGGAUUUCUUUGAAUGAGUUACAAAGUAGUUGUAUGUCUACAAGUACCAAAACACUAACUGAUAAUAGGGGACAAUCUAGGUGUGCAUUACCACCUUCAUACCGUAGAAGACAUGAUGUGGAUCAGUGGUUGCAUAAGCAUUCUGUGGGCCAUGCCAAGAGCACCAAUAUGCCAUUUUCAGCUUUAAUGGAUCUUGUAGAGAGAACUAAUGGAGGAGAUAAAGUUAUAUCGAGGCAGAGUUAUCAUGUUGGUAACUAUGAGAUAGUGGUCCUUACAAAAAUCGUUAAGAGUGAUCUUCAUGUACUGGUAGCCACAAACACAAAGGGUGCUGUAGUUCUUCAUUGGGGUUUCUCAAAGUUGUCCAUUGUGGAAUGGUUGUUGAGGUUCAUGCUUCCUAAUUUUUAAGAUCUAUAUCAUGAAAACUGAAUGGCCUUGAAAACAUAUUCGCCAAAUCCUCAUUUCACCUCAUAGUCAGUUUUCCUCACUGUUUCUAGGCCCCUCCAUCAGACAUGUUGCCUGAAAAAUCAAGACUUCUUAAUGGUGCAUGCCAAACUUAUUUCGCGGAAAUAUUAACUGGAAAAGGAUCCUUUCAGCUUGUAGAUAUCAAUCUGCAGCAAAGAAAUUUCUUUGGUAUCCAAUUCAUGAUCUGGACAGGUGGAUCUUGGAUAAAAAAUAAUGGGGCAAAUUUCUCUGUUUUGCUGAAGUCAAUCAAUCCUAAUGGAAAGGUACUGCUCAUUCUUUGAUCUUGGUUUAACAUGCCUUGCUAAUAUACUCAUAAGCAUCCUCAUGGCAUAGUUGCAUCUCAUGGUGAUAAACUUUAUUAUGGAUGAUCUAUCAAAUAGGAAAACUUUCCUUGACACAGCGGGGUAUGAGAUUGAGGAAAUAGUUAACUACUGAAGAGAUUAUUCCUUUUGGCUGAUGUCAGCAAUAACAUUUGAUCUCAACUAAUUUACUAAAAAUAUUGAAUCAAUAAUGUAGAAUGUUGUUACACCUAAAAAUAUGUGCAACUAUUUCCUUCAACAUUUUAGUUGUGACAGAGGCCAGCUUAAUCCCCAAUGUUAACUCCCUUCUAUUGUUAAUAGGCCUUAUAAUAGGUUAAAUUCUCAUUCUCAAAAGUGCAUCAAGGCAUUUGUUCUGUUGAUGUAUAUUAUGUGCAGGUUGAUGGGGAUGGGAAAGAAAUUGUCAAAUGGUUACUUGAUGAAAUAUAUCGAAGAGAAAAAGAGGCGGAAAGGUCAUUGAUGCACAGCUUAUUCACUUUGGGCACAGGUUCAACAUUGCAACAGAAUUGACAGAACGUUGUAAAUUUGAAGGGGAAUCAGGCCUUAUUGGCAUUUUGGUCUGGUUGAGGUUUAUGGCCUGCAGGCAUCUUACAUGGAACAAGAACUACAAUGUGAAACCUCGUGAAAUUAGUGAAGCUCAGGAUAAGUUCACCAAUUUACUACAAAAAAUAUAUGUGAACCAGCCGAAUGAUAGAGAAAUUGUGAGAUUGAUUAUGUUAUGUGUUGGACGUGGAGGUCAAGGAGAUGUUGGGCAGAGAAUUCGUGAUGAAAUUCUUGUGCUUCAGAGAAACAAUGAAAGCAAGACUGGCAUGAUGGAGGAGUGGCACCAAAAGUUGCACAAUAACAGUAGCCUAGAUGAUGUGAUAAUUUGUGAGGCACUCUUAAAUUAUGUCAGAUGUGUUUAUUGGCAAACUUUAAAUGCAAAUGGUCUGACAAAAGAGAAGCUUGCAAGUUAUGAUCGUCCAAUUGUGUCAGAGCCUCAUUUUAACACCCAUGCUAAGGAAGGUCUCAUUCGUGACCUUACAAUGUACUUGAAGACAUUAAAGGCUGUUCACUCAGGUGCUGACCUUGAAUCUGCGAUUGAAACUUGUUUGGGUCCUUCUUGCAAGAGUGAUUUCACGAAUGUAGAGAGAGUUUAUUCUCUAGAUGGUUUGUCACAAAAGUUGCGGGAAUCGUUGAACUUUAUCAGAGCAAAUGUGGCUGAUGCAAAUGUUGCUUCGCUUAUGGAGAAGUUACUGGAAUCUCGCAUCGAGCUUCACCCUGUUUUGCUCACAUCUACCGGAAGAGCAAAAGAUUUACUCUUCCUCGAUCUUGCUUUGGAUUCUGCAGUUAGAACAACAAUGGAAAGAGGACUGAAAGACAUCAGCUUCGAUCACCUGCCAGAUAUUAUGUGCUACAUUUCCUUUGUGCUUGAAAAUUUAUGCCUAUCAAUCGUCAACAAUGAAGACCUGAUUUAUUGCACAAAGGGUUGGUAUCAUGUCUGUGAAUCAUACAAAUCCAAUGAUGUUCAGUGGGCAUUACAAGCAAAAUCUAUUCUUGAUCGGGUGCAGCUAAUACUUGCUGAUAGGUCUCAGAACUACCAGAAAAAAAUUCAGCCCAGUGUGCAGUAUCUUGGUAAUUUGCUUGGUAUUAAGAAAUGGGUGAUUGAUAUUUUUACAGAGGAGUUGAUUAGGGCAGGCUCAGCAGCUAUCCUGUCCACACUUAUCAAUCGUUUUGAUCCCAUUCUUAGAAAAAUUGCAAAUCUAGGCUGUUGGCAAGUUAUCAGUCCAGUGGAAGUGUGUGGUUUUGUAACCUCUGUUCAUGAGUUAAUUACCAUUCAAAACAAGGUUUACGGAAAACCAACUGUUAUUAUUGCAAAUAGAGUAACUGGGGAGGAGGAGAUUCCUGAUGGAGUUGUUGCUGUGCUAACACCUAAUAUGCCAGAUAUUUUGUCCCAUGUCUCUAUUAGAGCAAGAAAUAGCAAGGUAUGCUUUGCCACAUGUUUUGAUCAGAAUAUUCUUAGGAAUCUCAAGCUAAAGGAAGGAAAAGCUAUAUCAAUAAGCAUGAAAUCAAUGAAUUUGAUUAUCAGUGAUGUCGAUGGCUCAAAUUUAUCACUUAAUUCCUCUAUUUCUACUUCCAUUCCACGAGCAGUUACACUUAAAAGGAAGCUGUUUUGUGGGAAAUAUGCUAUUUCACUUGAGGAGUUCACUGCUGAGAUGGUCGGUGCAAAAUCUUGCAACAUCAAAUUUUUAAGAGAAAGGGUGCCAUCAUGGAUUAAGAUUCCAAUUUCAGUUGCCCUAACAUUUGGAGCCUUUGAAACUAUUCUUUUAGAAGAUAUUAACAAGGUACUGCUGAUAUUUCAGAGGAGACUUUUGCCAUUCCUUGUGAUCCAUUAAGCAUUAUACACAAGUAAUUAUGAUUAUGCAUGUCAUGUGUGAAUGAAUCAUUCAUA